This 1689-nucleotide long non-coding RNA is filed under the name Homo sapiens (human). RNAcentral describes it as "HSALNT0409557". Lineage: Eukaryota; Metazoa; Chordata; Mammalia; Primates; Hominidae. The record is from RNAcentral.
ACUUAGAAACCCAGAGCAUUUUAACCCUCAGUAGUGAGCACACAGAGAUAUUCCUUCAGCAUACCAUACUGCCAUAGAGUGAUGGAGGAAUGACACCAGUAAUUUGAGACCUCUUCAGUGGCUCUGUGAUACAAAGUUAAAACCAGGUCUGCUGCAGUUUGCGGGAGGUCCACUCCAGACCCUGUUUGCCUGGGUGUCACCAGUGGAGGCUGCAGAACAGAAAGGAUUGCCACCUGCUCCUUCCUCUGGAAGCUUCAUCCCAGAGGGACACUGGCCUGAUGCCAGCCACAGCUCUCCUGUACAAGUGUUUAUUAUAUCCCUCUAUAUGGCCAUGUGUACUCAUCGUUCACCUUCCACUUACAUGUAAAAACAUAUGGGCAGCAGUAGGAAGAAUAAUGAGAGACCCUGCAGAGUGAAGAAGGGAAAGCCCAUCACAAAACUAUCAAAUCUCAUGAGAACUCACUGACUGUAACAAGAAAAACAUGGGCAAAAUGGUGGAAGCAGAUUGGCCUGGCAAACUUUUCAUUGCUGGCCUCCAUUUAGAAACCAAUGAAAAGAUGCUUAAAGCAGUAUUUGGGAAAUAUGGUCCCAUAUUGGAAGGUGGAGAUCAACAGCUUCUUGGAGAAAAAGGAGCCCUUCAGGAAGUCUGAGAUCUGCAAGAGGAGGUAGUGGAGGAACAAGAGUGUUUCUUCCCUCAUGUGAGGGACACUUGGGUAAUGUUUUCAAAUACAAAGAUGAAACCAUAGGACUGAAAGACAGUAAGUUUGAAGAUAUCAAAAUUUCUUAAUUUUGUUUACUUCCUUUAUGUACAGAAAAUUAACUUACUGAUAAUGAGCAAAAUUUUUUGUAAGUACUAAAGAUAUAUUAUAAGAAUGAUUGAAAUAAUAUGAAAAUUUCAUUUUAAAAUCUUAAUUUGCAUUGAAAUAACACAUUUAAAAGAAAAUUGAGUUUAUUAAUAUUGAUUGUCUGUACUCAACAAGUUUUCUGCAGAACUCAUUUAUUCAUUAUGCUUCAGAGUUUCUUAUUUUGGGGCCAAGAACUUUAUAUAAAAUGUAUUAUCAAAAUACGAUGGAAUCUUGAAAACCUUCCAACAGGAAAUAAGAAGUCAUUAUUUUAGGAUUGAUCUUGCAAUAUUUGUUAUUUGUGUAUACACAUGGAAAUAUCUAUACAAAUGUAUUCCUUUGCCAUUUUGAUAGGCAUGAUUUGCACAUCGGCCUGCCAUAAAGCAUUUUGUAUUUAAGAAAUGUGUAACUUCAGUUUCUCAAAAGAGUCUGUGACUCAGGAAAAGUCUAAAAGCCACUGCUUCACAAAUAUGUUAGUAUCUUUCUUUGCUGGAGGAUGAGUCACUGAAAAUGGCAUUUAUGAAGGACUUACUCAAUAGGAAUGAGGGUCAAUUUUUACUUAAAAAUAUUCAUGUAUUAAAAAAAUUGGGUCAGUUGUAUUAUCUAUUAACCAACCUUCAAAAAUAUAACAUUUAAUUUGAGUUUUAAUAACCAGAUGUGUAAUUCAUUGGAUAUGUUUUCUCAAGUUGAAAUUGCAGUGUUUGCUCCAUUUUAAGGUACAUAGCUUCAUGAUUUUUUUUUCUCAAUUGAUUUUGAGGGUGAAGAUUAAUACUACUCUGCCAUGAUGAGAAUAUGCAUUUUCUUACCUGUGACACCACCAGGUCAUUAGAAUAUAUCUACAUUUUUU